GCAUACGACUUGGUGCCUGGAGUGGCGCGAGUCAGAAAUGCUCAGGCGCGAUAGGAUGUGGCUGCGGCCGAUUAGGUAGACGGUGGGGUAACGGCCCACCGUGCCAAUAAUCGGUACGGGUUGUGAGAGCAAGAGCCCGGAGACGGUAUCUGAGACAAGAUACCGGGCCCUACGGGGCGCAGCAGGCGCGAAACCUUUACACUGCACGCGAGUGCGAUAAGGGGACUCCAAGUGCGAGGGCAUAUAGUCCUCGCUUUUUCCGACCGUAGGAUGGUCGGCGAAUAAGUGCUGGGCAAGACCGGUGCCAGCCGCCGCGGUAAUACCGGCAGCACGAGUGAUGACCGCUAUUAUUGGGCCUAAAGCGUCCGUAGCUGGCCACGCAAGUCCAUCGGGAAAUCUCUCCGCUCAACGGAGAGGCGUCCGGUGGAAACUGUAUGGCUUGGGACCGGAAGAUCCAGAGGGUACGUCUGGGGUAGGAGUGAAAUCCCGUAAUCCGAGACGGACCACCGGUGGCGAAAGCGCUCUGGAAAGACGGAUCCGACGGUGAGGGACGAAAGCUCGGGUCACGAACCGGAUUAGAUACCCGGGUAGUCCGAGCUGUAAACGAUGUCUGCUAGGUGUGACACAGGCUACGAGCCUGUGUUGUGCCGUAGGGAAGCCGUGAAGCAGACCGCCUGGGAAGUACGUCUGCAAGGAUGAAACUUAAAGGAAUUGGCGGGGGAGCACUACAACCGGAGGAGCCUGCGGUUUAAUUGGACUCAACGCCGGACAUCUCACCAGCAUCGACAGUGUGCAGUGAAAGUCAGUGUGAUGAGCUUACUGGAGCCACUGAGAGGAGGUGCAUGGCCGCCGUCAGCUCGUACCGUGAGGCGUCCUGUUAAGUCAGGCAACGAGCGAGACCCGCACCCUUAAUUGCCAGCAACACCCUUGAGGUGGUUGGGUACAUUAAGAGGACUGCCAGUGCCAAACUGGAGGAAGGAACGGGCAACGGUAGGUCAGUAUGCCCCGAAUGUGCUGGGCUACACGCGGGCUACAAUGGUCGAGACAGUGGGAUGCUACGCCGAGAGGCGACGCUAAUCUCCGAAACUCGAUCGUAGUUCGGAUUGCGGGCUGAAACUCGCCCGCAUGAAGCUGGAUUCGGUAG
This 1144-nucleotide ribosomal RNA is filed under the name Halobacterium sp. KeS-08. Its description in RNAcentral is "bacterial SSU rRNA". It matches the Rfam family "Archaeal small subunit ribosomal RNA", at positions 154 to 1294 of the family's 1478-position model. Lineage: Archaea; Methanobacteriati; Methanobacteriota; Halobacteria; Halobacteriales; Halobacteriaceae. The record is from RNAcentral.